RNAcentral lists this ribosomal RNA (1276 nucleotides) under metagenome. Its description in RNAcentral is "bacterial LSU rRNA". It matches the Rfam family "Bacterial large subunit ribosomal RNA", at positions 1637 to 2925 of the family's 2925-position model. The record is from RNAcentral.
GAUGCCUGUACCCGAAACCGACACAGGUAGGUAGGUAGAGUAUACCAAGGGGCGCGAGAUAACUCCCUCUAAGGAACUCGGCAAAAUUACCUCGUAACUUCGGAAGAAGAGGUACCCUUGCAAAAGGGUUGCAAUAAAUAGACCCUGGCGACUGUUUACCAAAAACACAGGUCUCCGCUAAUUCGUAAGAUUAAGUAUGGGGGCUGACGCCUGCCCAGUGCCGGAAGGUUAAGGAAGUUGGUUAGUUUUUGACGAAGCUGGCGACCGAAGCCCCGGUGAACGGCGGCCGUAACAAUAACGGUCCUAAGGUAGCGAAAUUCCUUGUCGGGUAAGUUCCGACCCGCACGAAAGGCGUAACGAUCAGGGUGCUGUCUCGGAGAGAGGCUCGGCGAAAUAGACAUGUCUGUGAAGAUGCGGACUACCUGCACCUGGACAGAAAGACCCUAUGAAGCUUUACUGUAUCUUGGAAUUGGGUUUGGGCUUUGCUUGCGCAGGAUAGGUGGGAGGCUUUGAAGAUAUUCUUGCGGGAAUGUUGGAGCCAAUGGUGAGAUACCACUCUAGUAAGGCCAAAAUUCUAACUUCGAACCGUUAUCCGGUCGGGGAACAGUUUCAGGUGGGCAGUUUGACUGGGGCGGUCGCCUCCUAAAAGGUAACGGAGGCGUGCAAAGGUUCCCUCAGGCUGGUCGGACAUCAGUCGUAGAGUGUAAAGGCAUAAGGGAGCUUGACUGCGAGGCCUACAAGUCGAGCAGAGACAAAAGUCGGCCUUAGUGAUCCGACGGUUCCGAGUGGAAGGGCCGUCGCUCAACGGAUAAAAGUUACUCUAGGAUAACAGGCUGAUCUCCCCCAAGAGUUCACAUCGACGGGGAGGUUUGGCACCUCGAUGUCGGCUCAUCGCAUCCUGGGGCGGUAGUACGUCCCAAGGGUUGGGCUGUUCGCCCAUGAAAGCGGUACGCGAGCUGGGUUCAGAACGUCGUGAGACAGUUCGGUCCAUAUCCGGUGCAGGCGUUAGAGUAUUGCGAGGAGUUCCCCUUAGUACGAGAGGACCGGGGGAAAUACACCGCUGGUGUACCAGUUAUCGUGCCAACGGUAAACGCUGGGUAGCCAAGUGUAGAGUGGAUAACUGCUGAAAGCAUCUAAGUAGGAAGCCCACCUCAAGAUGAGUACUCUCACCACUAUAAGUGGGUAAGAUCACGGCAAGAACAGCCGUUAUAUAGGCACUAAGUGUAAGUACAGUAAUGUAUUUAGCUGAGGUGUACUAACAGAUCGAGGGCUUGAU